This is a non-coding RNA of Camellia sinensis, 434 nucleotides long. The record is from RefSeq and is a predicted model, not a curated record. Lineage: Eukaryota; Viridiplantae; Streptophyta; Magnoliopsida; Ericales; Theaceae.
GUUUUGAAUCAAAUAUAAGAUAUUUAUUGGGUAUUUGUGCAUGUGCCUUCAGAAAUUGCUGUUCUGUUGUUUGAUUCUCCUCUUGAGCUCUGUUCUGUUCCUCACUGUCACUGCGAGAUCGCCGAUCUUUAAGCUUAUGUUGACUUUACAGGCACUUCCAUCAAUUGAAAAGGACAACAUGCCUAUACUGAAGUAUUUCCCAGCCAAGCUGAGAUGGUGAACAUUCCAAAUUGAAGACACUGAUUUGAGAAAUCACAGAUUUUAUUUUAUUUUUCUUUUUGUGAUUGAUUCAUGCACUUGUAUAAAAUACAACAGGGAUUUGUGGGUUCUUUGUAAAUCUUCUGAUGUGUUCUAGAAAUAUUCUAUCAAUAAACAAUUUAAAUGCAUUUGGUCAAGAUAAAACAUACACAGGUAGAAUGAUGUUGGGAUUGAAA